This 506-nucleotide ribosomal RNA is filed under the name uncultured bacterium. Its description in RNAcentral is "partial 16S ribosomal RNA". It matches the Rfam family "Bacterial small subunit ribosomal RNA", at positions 28 to 523 of the family's 1533-position model. The record is from RNAcentral.
GAUGAACGCUAGCUACAGGCUUAACACAUGCAAGUCGAGGGGUAACAAGAGAAAAGCUUGCUUUUUUUGUUGACGACCGGCGCACGGGUGAGUAACGCGUAUCCAACCUGCCUAUAACUAGGGAAUAACCCUGCGAAAGUAAGACUAAUACCCUAUGAUUUCCUUUGAUGGCAUCAGAUUAGGAAUAAAGAUUUAUCGGUUAUAGAUGGGGAUGCGUCUGAUUAGCUUGUUGGCGGGGUAACGGCCCACCAAGGCAACGAUCAGUAGGGGUUCUGAGAGGAAGGUCCCCCACAUUGGAACUGAGACACGGUCCAAACUCCUACGGGAGGCAGCAGUGAGGAAUAUUGGUCAAUGGGCGGAAGCCUGAACCAGCCAAGUAGCGUGCAGGAUGACGGCCCUAUGGGUUGUAAACUGCUUUUAUACAGGAAUAAAGUUAGCCACGUGUGGUUAUUUGUAGGUACUGUAUGAAUAAGGACCGGCUAAUUCCGUGCCAGCAGCCGCCGCUG